Molecule: long non-coding RNA, 439 nt
Filed under: Helianthus annuus (common sunflower)
Lineage: Eukaryota; Viridiplantae; Streptophyta; Magnoliopsida; Asterales; Asteraceae
Description: sRNA HanXRQr2_Chr17g0820721
Source: RNAcentral
CACAGACAUAACAAAACCCUAGCACCUCUCCUCCACCACUCUCCUCUUCCUCCCACCACCGCCGCCGUCUUCUUCCUCCUCUGACCACCCCUCUCUUACACCACUCUCCUCUAUUUCAAUUCCAAUCUCAAAACUGCGAUCUUCAUCUAAAACAUUCAAGACGUACAGAGAGGGUGACGGCGGGUUGAUUAGGGAUGGAAGGGCGGAGCGGUUCAACACUGGUGGUAGUUUCACGGCAGGCAGAUCUGGUGGUACGGUGGGCGACGAUUGUGUCGGCGGUGAAGAUGAGUUGAUGAUUUUCAUACAAUUUCUUCAAGGUAUUUGGAGGUUUGGAGAUGGCAGAUGUGGUAGUAGUGAAUAAGGUGGUUGGGCUGGGUGAGGAAUUAGAUAAUCAGUGGCUAAUAAUAGUUUUCACCCCGUCAUAAAAUCAACUUUGUAC